GGUGUUAUUCCUAUGAGUACUCCCCAGUAAACCUCUUGGGUGCAAAGGUCCACCUCAGAGUCUGUUUCCCAGGGAACUUGACCUAAAAAUGUAGGGCUUACAUUUUACAUGGGACCUUCCUUAUCCAGGUGGACCACAGAUUUACACUGUAAACCUAGGAUAGCAAAAGGCAAAGGAAUGGUGACUGUAGCCAAGCUAGACAGAGCUGUGACAUAUUCAGCAUUUUCAGGAUAUCAAAAUCAAGUAAGAGGUUUAAACUCUGAAGAGCCAAGAUGGCUUCAUCAAAACAGCAAAGAUCUGCUACGCAUCUCUCCGAGAUCUCUUCAAUAAGAACUCCAUCCUUGGGGUGCCUGGGUGGCUUACUCAUGAUGUGAGAUGAUAAAAUGCCUACCUAAUGAGAUGAAGUGAGAAACAUGAAGUAAGCACUGUGACAUAUAGUUGUGCUACUACUGUACAUCAGAAGAAUCAUCUGCUUCCAGACCAUGGUUGACGGCAGCUAACUAGAACCAUGGAAAGUGACCCAUGGAUAAAGGGGACUACUGUAUAUUCCAGGCAUUAUGAUAGCUGUUUCAUACCUUUAUUUUAUUA
Molecule: long non-coding RNA, 588 nt
Organism: Canis lupus familiaris (dog)
Lineage: Eukaryota; Metazoa; Chordata; Mammalia; Carnivora; Canidae
Exons: 4
Source: RefSeq, a predicted model, not a curated record